UGCAGUCGAGCGAACUUUUGGGAGCUUGCUCCCAAAAGUUAGCGGCGGACGGGUGAGUAACACGUGGGCAACCUGCCUAUAAGACUGGGAUAACUUCGGGAAACCGGAGCUAAUACCGGAUAACAUAUGAGACCACAUGGUCUCAUAUUGAAAGAUGGCUUUUAGCUAUCACUUAUAGAUGGGCCCGCGGCGCAUUAGCUAGUUGGUGAGGUAAUGGCUCACCAAGGCAACGAUGCGUAGCCGACCUGAGAGGGUGAUCGGCCACACUGGGACUGAGACACGGCCCAGACUCCUACGGGAGGCAGCAGUAGGGAAUCUUCCGCAAUGGACGAAAGUCUGACGGAGCAACGCCGCGUGAGCGAAGAAGGUCUUCGGAUCGUAAAGCUCUGUUGUUAGGGAAGAACAAGUACCGUUCGAAUAGGGCGGUACCUUGACGGUACCUAACCAGAAAGCCACGGCUAACUACGUGCCAGCAGCCGCGGUAAUACGUAGGUGGCAAGCGUUAUCCGGAAUUAUUGGGCGUAAAGCGCGCGCAGGCGGUCCUUUAAGUCUGAUGUGAAAGCCCACGGCUCAACCGUGGAGGGUCAUUGGAAACUGGGGGACUUGAGUGCAGAAGAGGAGAGCGGAAUUCCACGUGUAGCGGUGAAAUGCGUAGAGAUGUGGAGGAACACCAGUGGCGAAGGCGGCUCUCUGGUCUGUAACUGACGCUGAGGCGCGAAAGCGUGGGGAGCGAACAGGAUUAGAUACCCUGGUAGUCCACGCCGUAAACGAUGAGUGCU
RNAcentral lists this ribosomal RNA (779 nucleotides) under Bacillus sp. (in: firmicutes). Its description in RNAcentral is "bacterial SSU rRNA". It matches the Rfam family "Bacterial small subunit ribosomal RNA", at positions 56 to 817 of the family's 1533-position model. Lineage: Bacteria; Bacillati; Bacillota; Bacilli; Caryophanales; Bacillaceae. The record is from RNAcentral.